This 465-nucleotide ribosomal RNA is filed under the name Vreelandella stevensii. RNAcentral's name for it is "partial 16S ribosomal RNA". It matches the Rfam family "Bacterial small subunit ribosomal RNA", at positions 338 to 795 of the family's 1533-position model. The record is from RNAcentral. Lineage: Bacteria; Pseudomonadati; Pseudomonadota; Gammaproteobacteria; Oceanospirillales; Halomonadaceae.
CCUACGGGGGGCUGCAGUGGGGAAUAUUGGACAAUGGGGGCAACCCUGAUCCAGCCAUGCCGCGUGUGUGAAGAAGGCCCUCGGGUUGUAAAGCACUUUCAGUGAGGAAGAACGCCUGGUGGUUAAUACCCAUCAGGAAAGACAUCACUCACAGAAGAAGCACCGGCUAACUCCGUGCCAGCAGCCGCGGUAAUACGGAGGGUGCGAGCGUUAAUCGGAAUUACUGGGCGUAAAGCGCGCGUAGGUGGCUUGAUAAGCCGGUUGUGAAAGCCCCGGGCUCAACCUGGGAACGGCAUCCGGAACUGUCAAGCUAGAGUGCAGGAGAGGAAGGUAGAAUUCCCAGUGUAGCGGUGAAAUGCGUAGAGAUCGGGAGGAAUACCAGUGGCGAAGGCGGCCUUCUGGACUGACACUGACACUGAGGUGCGAAAGCGUGGGUAGCAAACAGGAUUAGAUACCCGAGUAGUC